Molecule: long non-coding RNA, 3996 nt
Filed under: Gossypium barbadense (sea-island cotton)
Lineage: Eukaryota; Viridiplantae; Streptophyta; Magnoliopsida; Malvales; Malvaceae
Description: long non-coding RNA (GBAR_LNC016286)
Source: RNAcentral
AAAAAUCGACUGAAAUGGCCAAGUUAUUGGGUCCUCUUCCAAACUAUACCUUCAUUUUCCUAUCUUUCCUCCUCCUGGUUUACUCCGGUAAUUAAGCACUAUCUUUAUUCAUAUAUACAUCUAUUAAGCUGCAUAAAUGUUGUACGUUAGAUCAUAUUGAAAGUUAGAAAACUUGAAAGUUUUUUUUGGAACAACAGGGACGCAAAUGGUGGAAGCACAGGUUUGCUCGAGGCCAAGUCAAACAACGGGAGUAAUUACUUGUCCGAGCAAUUUGCUUUGCGACCGACGAUGCAGGGACAUUGAAGGUGCCAUGUAUGGUGCGUGUCAGCCCCGACUCCUAGGGUCGACAUGUUUAUGCUACGUUAGAUGCUGACCAUCAUAGCAUCUAUGUAUGAAUGAAGAUUGCACCACGUCCAACCUUCAUCUUAUGUAGGGAUACAACUCAGUACUACUCAUGCCACUGUUAUGUUUUACUAUCUGAAUAAAACCGGUGCGAUUACUAUUACAUGAUUAAGCUGCCAUGGGCAUGGCUCUUCUAUGACUACAUUUUACAAAAUUAAUUAUAAAAUAAAUAUUAACUUUAAUUAUAUUAAAUAAAUAUUAUUUUAAUAUUUCAAGGUUAGGAUUAUAAUAAACUAAUUAUCAUUCAUAAUUUAUCAUACAAAAUAUGAGAUAAAUUAAAGUAAAAAAAAUAUAUGGUAUGGGAAAAUUAAAACACGAUCUCAACACAAAAACUAUUUUUAGGACUAUACAAAGAAGAGUGAUAUCAUUUAUUUGAUUUCCAUAAAUUUAAUCAUUGGAUAUCGGGAAAACAAAAAAACUUUAAUCAAAAACUGUUUUCAUUGCGCACUAAUGAAUAUUUAGAGUGUGGAGGAAAAAAUGAUAAUUAAGAGAUAUUGAUAAUUACCGUAAUUUGUCUUUUCAGAAAUAUCGUUUCAAUAAGAAAAAUAUUCUUGUGAUAGGUCCUGUUCCUAGUAAAAAAUAUAGUGAAAUCAUAUUUCCUAUUCUUUCCCCGGACCAUGCUAGUAAUAAAAAUGUUCAUUUCUUAAAACAUCCUAUAUAUAUAGGCGGAAACAGGGGAAGGGGUCAGAUUUAUCCCGACGGGAACAAAAGUAAUAAUACUGUUUAUAAUGCAACGGCAACAAGUAUAGUAAGCAAAAUCAUACAAAAAGAAAAAAAUGGGGGUAUGAAAUAACAAUAAUGGAUGCCUUGGAUGGACAUCAAGUGGUUGAUAUUAUACCCCCAAGACUACAAUUUCUUGUUUCAGAGGGUGAAUGUAUCAAACUCGAUCAACUAUUAACAAUUAAUCUUAAUGUAGGUGGAUUUGGUUAGGGGAUACAGAAAUAGUACUUCAAGACCCACGUACUACACAUCCAAGGUCUUUUGUUCUUCUUGGCAUAUAUUGUUUUUGCACAAAUCUUCUUUGUUCUUAAAAAGAAACAGUUUGAGAAGGUUCAAGUGUACGAAAUAAAAUUCCAAAUCUGUGAAUUUAUCAACAUCAAGAGCAGUUAGGUUAGGUAUGAUGAAAAAAAGUAUGAAAAGCCUUUUGCUUGUUUAUAUUCUCUCUCUAGGAAUUGCUUUUACCGCAUUCAAAACAAAAUAUGUAUAUUAUGAAGAAUUAAUUCAAUGAACAAACUAUUCAUAAAAACAAAGCUUUCUAUCCUAUUCCAUAUAUUCUAUAGCUCCUUAUCGUGUUAAUUAUCAAUUAUUAGGUAUUGAUAUUCAUGAGCAAUAGAAAUUAAUAUUUAGGGAUAGAUAUUACCUUUCUUUUUCUUAUUUCAAAUAAAUUGAAAUGAUUGAAGUUUUUCUAUUUGGAAUCGUCUUAGGUCUAAUGCCUAUUACUUUGGCUAGAUUAUCUGUAACCGCAUAUUUACAAUAUAGACGUGGUGAUCAGUUGGACCUUUGAUUAAUUAACAUACCUUUUUUUUAUUGAUCCCUUUAAUUCUUGAAUUUUUUUAAUUUCAAUUUAUUUAAUAAUUUAAUCCAAGAAGGUCAAAUUCGAAUUAAUGUUCAAUUUUUUUAUUGACCGAAAAAAUAAAAAAAAAUAAAAAAAUAGCAUUGAAAUAUAUUUUUAUUGACCAAUCAGAAUUGUCUCCCAAGAUCUAUAAUUGUCCCAAAAAGUCCAAUAUACAUACAUUAUUGGACCUUUUGAAUAGCAGUCGAGAAAACCUUAUGAAAAUUGAAUACUUUCGCAUAGAAGAUGUAAAAUAAAUAUUAGGGGCGGGUAGGGACCCCUAAAAUGGAAAGUUUUUCAUUUAGGCCCUUUAAAAUUUUUAAAAUUUUAAAUUAGUAAAAAUAAAAUUAUACUUUGGUUCCUCUAAAAAUGAUAAAAAUUUAAUUUAAUAUUUUAAGAAUUAUAAAUAUAUAGGUUAUUCAAAUGGUGAACUUGUAUUUUUAUUCUCGUAAAAAUUAUAAUUUAAUUUCGACCCCUAAAAAAUUUGUUUCAGUUAUUCCAAAAUAUGUUAGAUUAAAUGCGAGGUUCUAGAAGUUAUUUUGAUAUGAAUGAAUUAAGUUUUUAAAUGACAUUUAAUUUGCAAUAUAAAGGAAAUGAUUGCAACGAGUUAAAUAGGUUUAUAUUCUCAAAAUAAAGUUUGUAUUAAAAAAAUUAUUCGAUACAUCAGUCUAGUUUUAAAUUUUAUAAAUAGGUUAAGAGAUUGAUAGAUACACCAAUAAUUUGUUUCAAUGUCCAGUGGCAACAUCAUGGCUUGAAAAUAUUUCUUACAAGGGGUUGGACACUGCUUUUCACUUGUGUAAUACACUUUAAUUAAUUUAUAUAAAUCAAUAUUAUUAUUUUAUUAAUAAAAUCAUAGUUUAAUAUAUUUUUAAUAAUUUCAUAAAAAUGAAAUAAUUUAAAACUUUUAUAAUGUCUUUUUUUAGUCUAGUUAUUUUCAUUCUUAUCUCAAUGGUAUAGUUACUUUUGAAUCAGAAUAAAUAUCUCAUUAUUAUUUUUUAAAUCACUACUGCAAUAGUUUUAAUUCAACUAGAAAAGGAAGCUUAGAAUGCAUUUAUUGCAUAGAAAAUGAAUUUCAAAUGUAAAAUAAAUCAAUAAGCAGCAUUAAUUUAAAAUGUUAUAUUUUUCUUAUCUACGUAAAUACAGUCAAUUUGCAGAACUAAAAUUACGCCACAAUUAGAUUAUUCAUCUAAUACAAUCAAAUUGUCCACGAACACAAACAGUUCAAUUGAGUAAUUACAUGAACUGAUUUUCUAAAAGGAACCACAUCAAUAGACGCUUCUCAAGCUUUCCGAAGUCUGCUCUCAUCAAUUUUCAGAGCAUCAUCUUCAUCACUAGCCUCUCCCUCUCCAUCGUUUUUACUAACGCUUUCAUCAUCUUCUUCUCUAUCUUUCGGUCAGUCCAUUUGGUCGGAUUGGGGCGAUCAAAUAAAGAAGACUAGGCUACGGUAAGGGCCUAAGGGGUAUCCAAUGGAUAGGAAAUGAAACUCGUUGAAAAGAAAAAUUAUACUCUGGGCUUACUCGAAUGCCUUCAUUUCCAUUUGGGUGGGUCUCUUUUGUCUUUAAUGCUCGACAAGCCCACCCCUUUCCUCAUUUCAAGCGGUUCCGAAAGAGACCCCAUGUCUGACAACAGUCCCAAGUUUACUUAGACAUGUAUAAAUGAUGUUACUUGCUUCACAGCUUUCUUUCUUUGUUGUUUUGUUCUAAAGGUGAAUAACCUGAUCGGUGGAGAAAUUCAUCAUCAUCAUCAUCCUCACAUUCAUUCAUCUCAUUAGUUACUCUACAAAUAAAUACCACCCUCCAUUCCUCUACACUCCCACUUUCAUAUAUCACAAAAAUCAACUGAAAUGGCUAAGUUAUUGGGUCCUCUUCCAAACUAUACCUUCCUUUUCCUAUCUUUCCUCCUCCUGGUUUACUCCGGUAAUUAAGCACCAUCUCAUUUUAUAAUCGUCCGAUACUUAGAAAUCUAUACUUAUUGAAUAUAAUUUGAUCUAAUGCUAAGAUAUGUUUGGUUAAACUUUAACGUUUUUGUGGAACAACAACAGG